CAUACGGGUGGCAGCAGUAGGGAAUUUUCCGCAAUGGGCGAAAGCCUGACGGAGCGACGCCGCGUGAAUGAUGAAGUCUUUCGGGAUGUAAAGUUCGAUCGGCCGGGGAAGAAUGGUUUUCAUACUAAUAAUAUGAGAGCAGGGACGGUACCCGGAGUGAAGCCACGGCUAAUUACGUGCCAGCAGCCGCGGUAAUACGUAAGUGGCAAGCGUUAUCCGGAAUCACUGGGUGGAAAGGGUGUGUAGGCGGUAAUGUAAGUUUUGUGUUUAAAUUCAGGGCUCAACUCUGAACUUGCACGAAAAACUGCAUUGCUAGAGUGACGAAGAGGAAACUGGAACUCCAGGUGAAGCGGUGAAAUGUGUAGAUAUCUGGGGGAACACCAAUGGCGAAGGCAGGUUUCUGGUCGUCAACUGACGCUGAGACACGAAAGCGUGGGGAUCAAACG
Molecule: ribosomal RNA, 446 nt
Filed under: uncultured prokaryote
Description: bacterial SSU rRNA
Rfam family: Bacterial small subunit ribosomal RNA
Source: RNAcentral